RNAcentral lists this ribosomal RNA (874 nucleotides) under uncultured bacterium. Its description in RNAcentral is "bacterial SSU rRNA". It matches the Rfam family "Bacterial small subunit ribosomal RNA", at positions 44 to 896 of the family's 1533-position model. The record is from RNAcentral.
GUGCGUUAACACAUGCAGUCGUACGAGAAAGCCGAAUUUCGGUUUGGCGAGUAAAGUGGCGCACGGGUGAGUAACGCGUAGGUGACCUGCCCUUGUGUUUGGGAUAACAGAGCGAAAGCUCUGCUAAUACCGGAUACGAUCUUUCCUUUGGGGGAGAAGAAAGUCAGCCGCUCGAAGAAGCUGGCGCACGAGGAGGGGCCUGCGUCCUAUCAGCUAGUUGGUAGGGUAACGGCCUACCAAGGCGACGACGGGUAGCUGGUCUGAGAGGAUGAUCAGCCACACUGGCACUGGAACACGGGCCAGACUCCUACGGGAGGCAGCAGUGAGGAAUUUUGCGCAAUGGGAGCAAUCCUGACGCAGCAACGCCGCGUGGGUGAUGAAGGCCUUCGGGUCGUAAAGCCCUGUCAGGUGGGAAGAACGUCUUGGGGAUGAAUAAGCUCUGAGAGUGACGGUACCACCAGAGGAAGCACCGGCUAACUCCGUGCCAGCAGCCGCGGUAAUACGGAGGGCGCGAGCGUUAUUCGGAAUUACUGGGCGUAAAGCGCGUGUAGGCGGGGAGGCAAGUCUGAUGUGAAAGCCCCGGGCUUAACCUGGGAAGUGCAUUGGAAACUGCUUUUCUUGAGUGCUGGAGAGGAAGGGGGAAUUCCCGGUGUAGAGGUGAAAUUCGUAGAGAUCGGGAGGAAUACCAGUGGCGAAGGCGCCCUUCUGGACGGCAACUGACGCUGAGACGCGAAAGCGUGGGGAGCAAACAGGAUUAGAUACCCUGGUAGUCCACGCCCUAAACGAUGUCAACUAGGUGUUGGGGGAGGAGACUUCCUUAGUACCGCAGCUAACGCGUGAAGUUGACCGCCUGGGGAGUACGGUCGCAAGAUUA